RNAcentral lists this transfer RNA (73 nucleotides) under Pterosiphonia complanata. Its description in RNAcentral is "tRNA-His". It matches the Rfam family "tRNA". From Rfam's summary of the family: Transfer RNA (tRNA) molecules are approximately 80 nucleotides in length. Lineage: Eukaryota; Rhodophyta; Florideophyceae; Ceramiales; Rhodomelaceae. The record is from RNAcentral.
GCGAAGGGAGCUAGGAGGUUUAGCUUUAGUUUGUGAUUCUAAAAUUCAUGGGUUCGAGUCCCAUUCUUCGCCC